Arvicanthis niloticus (Nile rat) is the source of this 1144-nucleotide non-coding RNA. The record is from RefSeq and is a predicted model, not a curated record. Lineage: Eukaryota; Metazoa; Chordata; Mammalia; Rodentia; Muridae.
AUGCCGAAUAAAAACAAGAAAGAGAACGAACCACCAAAACUGGUGAAAAGUGGAAAAGGUUCAAAAGAAGGACAAGAUACAGCAGAAGCAGAGAUAGCCAGCAUGAAAAACAGCCUCGCAGCUGUCCAGUCUUUGACAUCUACUAAAAUAAAAGUACCAGUUCCUCAGCCAAUCAUAGUCCCUGUGAAGAAAGACAAAUGGCAGAACUCUUCAUGGUUUGAUGCCAGCAAUAAGAGAGAACUGCAAAAACUCCCAUCUUUACAAAAUGUUCUUCCUGCGGGUCAAGAGAAGCUUUUCAUCCAGAAGCUACGUCAGUGUUGUGUCCUCUUUGACUUUGCUUCUGACCCACUGAGUGACCUGAAGUGGAAGGAAGUAAAGCGAGCUGUGCUAAGUGAAAUGGUGGAACAUAUCACCCACAACCUGAACGCGAUCACAAUGCCCAUUUACCCCGAAACCAUCCAUAUGUUUGCGGUUAAUAUGUUUUGAACCUUGCCACCCUCCUCCAAUCCUACGGGAGCAGAAUUCGACCCAGGAGGAGAUGAACCAAGGUUAGAAGCAGCCAGGCCUCAUCCGCAGCUUGUUUAUGAUUUUUUUUUUUUUAAAAGAUUUUUAGAGUCUCCAGAUUUUCAGCCCAAUAUAGCAAAGGAAUGUAUUGAUAGGAAGUUUGUAUUGCAGCUUAUAGAACUCUUUGACAGCGAGGAUCCUUGGGGGAGAGAUUUUUUAAAAACGACCCUGCACAGAAUCUAUGUGAAGUUCUUAGGCCUGUGCGCUUACAUCAGGAAACAGAUCAAUAAUAUAUUUUAUAGGUUUAUCUAUGAGACAGAGUACAAGAUUUUCCUUUUGAAGGUGUUGCUGCCCUUGCACAAAGUGAGGUCCCCUAGUGUCUACCAUCCCAAGCUGGCAUACUGUGUCAUGCAGUUUUAGAGAACAGCACCCUCACUGAACCAGUGGGAAUGGCACUUCUCAAAUAUUGGCCAAAGACUCACAGUCCAAAAAAGAAAAAGUAAUGUUCUUAAAUUAAUUGGAAGAAAUUUUAGAUGUAAUUCAGGUAGUUCGUGGAUAUUGUUUGGUGCCUGUGGCCACCUGGACCCAAGACUUCUUGGAAGACAGCAGCCCUUCAGCCUUUAAGAGCACUGAAUGUUAA